AAUAGAUACCCUGGUAGUCCACGCCGUAAACGAUGAGUGCUAAGUGUUAGAGGGUUUCCGCCCUUUAGUGCUGCAGCUAACGCAUUAAGCACUCCGCCUGGGGAGUACGGCCGCAAGGCUGAAACUCAAAGGAAUUGACGGGGGCCCGCACAAGCGGUGGAGCAUGUGGUUUAAUUCGAAGCAACGCGAAGAACCUUACCAGGUCUUGACAUCCUCUGCCAACCCUAGAGAUAGGGCGUUCCCCUUCGGGGGACAGAGUGACAGGUGGUGCAUGGUUGUCGUCAGCUCGUGUCGUGAGAUGUUGGGUUAAGUCCCGCAACGAGCGCAACCCUUGAUCUUAGUUGCCAGCAUUCAGUUGGGCACUCUAAGGUGACUGCCGGUGACAAACCGGAGGAAGAUGGGGAUGACGUCAAAUCAUCAUGCCCCUUAUGACCUGGGCUACACACGUGCUACAAUGGAUGGUACAAAGAGCUGCGAACCCGCGAGGGUAAGCCAAUCUCAUAAAGCCAUUCUCAGUUCGGAUUGU
Molecule: ribosomal RNA, 526 nt
Filed under: uncultured bacterium
Lineage: Bacteria
Description: bacterial SSU rRNA
Rfam family: Bacterial small subunit ribosomal RNA
Source: RNAcentral